GGUGGAUCAGUGGCGAACGGGUGAGUAACACGUGAGCAACCUGCCCUGAACUCUGGGAUAAGCGCUGGAAACGGUGUCUAAUACUGGAUAUGAGCUGCGAAGGCAUCUUCGUGGUUGGAAAGAUUUUUCGGUUUGGGAUGGGCUCGCGGCCUAUCAGCUUGUUGGUGAGGUAAUGGCUCACCAAGGCGUCGACGGGUAGCCGGCCUGAGAGGGUGACCGGCCACACUGGGACUGAGACACGGCCCAGACUCCUACGGGAGGCAGCAGUGGGGAAUAUUGCACAAUGGGCGGAAGCCUGAUGCAGCAACGCCGCGUGAGGGAUGACGGCCUUCGGGUUGUAAACCUCUUUUAGCAGGGAAGAAGCGAAAGUGACGGUACCUGCAGAAAAAGCGCCGGCUAACUACGUGCCAGCAGCCGCGGUAAUACGUAGGGCGCAAGCGUUAUCCGGAAUUAUUGGGCGUAAAGAGCUCGUAGGCGGUUUGUCGCGUCUGCUGUGAAAUCUGGGGGCUCAACCCCCAGCCUGCAGUGGGUACGGGCAGACUAGAGUGCGGUAGGGGAGAUUGGAAUUCCUGGUGUAGCGGUGGAAUGCGCAGAUAUCAGGAGGAACACCGAUGGCGAAGGCAGAUCUCUGGGCCGUAACUGACGCUGAGGAGCGAAAGGGUGGGGAGCAAACAGGCUUAGAUACCCUGGUAGUCCACCCCGUAAACGUUGGGAACUAGUUGUGGGGUCCAUUCCACGGAUUCCGUGACGCAGCU
This 755-nucleotide ribosomal RNA is filed under the name Microbacterium aurantiacum. Its description in RNAcentral is "bacterial SSU rRNA". It matches the Rfam family "Bacterial small subunit ribosomal RNA", at positions 86 to 853 of the family's 1533-position model. The record is from RNAcentral. Lineage: Bacteria; Bacillati; Actinomycetota; Actinomycetes; Micrococcales; Microbacteriaceae.